Non-coding RNA from Angiostrongylus costaricensis, 72 nucleotides. The record is from Rfam. NCBI's taxonomy places the organism in Eukaryota, Metazoa, Nematoda, Chromadorea, Rhabditida, Metastrongylidae.
GGAGGUAUAGCUCAGGGGUAAAGCGCUCGCUUCGCAUGCGAGAAGUAUGGGGUUCGAUUCCCCAUACCUCCA